CCCACUGCUAUCGGGAUAGGACUAAGACAUGCUAGUCAAGCGCUCUUUAGCUAUGAUAAGAGUGCGGCGUACAGCUCAGUAACACGUGGCUAACCUGCCCUUGGGACAGAGACAACCCCGGGAAACUGGGGCUAAUCCCUGAUAGGUGAAGAACUCUGGAAUGAGUCUCCGCCCAAAAGGCGCUUACAUCAUGCUUGUAGGCGUUGCCCAAGGAUGGGGCCGCGACCGAUCAGGUUGUUGGUUGAGGUAACGGCUCACCAAGCCAUUGACCGGUACGGGCCGUGAGAGCGGGAGCCCGGAGAUGGGCACUGAGACAAGGGCCCAGGCCCUACGGGGCGCAGCAGUCGCGCAAACUUUGCAAUACACGAAAGUGUGACAGGGCUAUCCCGAGUGCCGCCCGCUGAGGGUGGCUUUUACUCAGUAUAACAAGCUGGGAGAAUAAGGAGAGGGCAAGACUGGUGUCAGCCGCCGCGGUAAUACCAGCUCUCCGAGUGGUGUGGACGUUUAUUGGGCCUAAAGCAUCCGUAGCUUGCUGAAGAAGUCCUCUGUUAAACCCAACGAAUUAAUCGUUGGAGUGCGGGGGAUACUGCUCGGCUUGGAGGCGAUAGAGGCAGACGGUAUUUCCGGGGUAGGAGUGAAAUCCUAUAAUCCCGGGAAGACCACCAGUGGCGAAGGCUGUUUGCUAGAACGCGCUCGACGGUGAGGGAUGAAAGCUGGGGUAGCGAACCGGAUUAGAUACCCGGGUAGUCCCAGCUGUAAACGAUGCAGGCUAGGUGUUUGGGCGGCUACGUGCCGCUCUAGUGCCGCAGGGAAGCCGUUAAGCCUGCCGCCUGGGGAGUACGAUCGCAAGGUUGAAACUUAAAGGAAUUGGCGGGGGAGCACCACAAGGGGUGAAGCUUGCGGUUUAAUUGGAUUCAACGCCGGG
This 925-nucleotide ribosomal RNA is filed under the name uncultured archaeon. RNAcentral's name for it is "bacterial SSU rRNA". It matches the Rfam family "Archaeal small subunit ribosomal RNA", at positions 23 to 922 of the family's 1478-position model. The record is from RNAcentral.